AAUAAACGCUGGCGGCGUGCCUAACACAUGCAAGUCGCACGAGAACGCCUAAUCUUCGGAUGGGCAAGUAAAGUGGCGCACGGGUGAGUAACGCGUAGGCGACCUACCCCUGUGUUCGGGAUAACAGAGCGAAAGCGCUGCUAAUACCGGAUACGACCCUUUUUGGGUGAAAGCAGGCCUCUCAAAGAAGCUUGCGCGCGGGGACGGGCCUGCGUCCUAUCAGCUAGUUGGUAGGGUAGCGGCCUACCAAGGCGACGACGGGUAGCUGGUCUGAGAGGAUGAUCAGCCACACUGGCACUGGAACACGGGCCAGACUCCUACGGGAGGCAGCAGUGAGGAAUUUUGCGCAAUGGGGGAAACCCUGACGCAGCAACGCCGCGUGGGUGAAGAAGGCCUUCGGGUCGUAAAGCCCUGUCAGGCGGGAAGAAAUCCGGGGAGGCGAACAGCCUUUUCGGUUGACGGUACCGCCAGAGGAAGCACCGGCUAACUCCGUGCCAGCCGCCGCCGUAA
Molecule: ribosomal RNA, 510 nt
Filed under: uncultured bacterium
Lineage: Bacteria
Description: partial 16S ribosomal RNA
Rfam family: Bacterial small subunit ribosomal RNA
Source: RNAcentral